GACGAACGCUGGCGGCGUGCUUAACACAUGCAAGUCGAACGAUGAAGCCGGAGCUUGCUCUGGUGAAUUAGUGGCGAACGGGUGAGUAACACGUGAGUAACCUGCCCUUGACUCUGGGAUAACUGCUAGAAAUGGUAGCUAAUACCGGAUACGACCCUCGGAGGCAUCUUCAGGGGGUGGAAAGAAUUUCGGUCAAGGAUGGACUCGCGGCCUAUCAGCUAGUUGGUGAGGUAACGGCUCACCAAGGCGACGACGGGUAGCCGGCCUGAGAGGGUGACCGGCCAGACUGGGACUGGGACACGGCCCAGAGUCCUACGGGAGGCAGCAGUGGGGAAUAUUGCUCAAUGGGGGCAAGCCUGAUGCAGCAACGCCGCGUGAGGGAUGCCGGCCUUCGGGUUGUAAACCUCUUUUAGUAGGGAAGAAGCGAAAGUGACGGUACCUGCAGAAAAAGCACCGGCUAACUACGUGCCAGCCGCCGCCGUAA
Molecule: ribosomal RNA, 484 nt
Filed under: uncultured bacterium
Lineage: Bacteria
Description: partial 16S ribosomal RNA
Rfam family: Bacterial small subunit ribosomal RNA
Source: RNAcentral